UACGUAGGGUGCGAGCGUUGCCCGGAUUUAUUGGGCGUAAAGCGCGUGUAGGCGGCCAGAUAGGUCUGUUGUGAAAACUGGAGGCUUAACCUCCAGACGUCGAUGGAAACCGUAUGGCUAGAGUCCGGAAGAGGAGAGUGGAAUUCCUGGUGUAGCGGUGAAAUGCGCAGAUAUCAGGAAGAACACCCGUGGCGAAGGCGGCUCUCUGGGACGGUACUGACGCUGAGACGCGAAAGCGUGGGGAGCGAACAGG
This 253-nucleotide ribosomal RNA is filed under the name uncultured bacterium. RNAcentral describes it as "partial 16S ribosomal RNA". It matches the Rfam family "Bacterial small subunit ribosomal RNA", at positions 524 to 776 of the family's 1533-position model. The record is from RNAcentral.